This 1329-nucleotide long non-coding RNA is filed under the name Phasianus colchicus (ring-necked pheasant). RNAcentral describes it as "lncRNA (ENSPCLG00000017741.1)". Lineage: Eukaryota; Metazoa; Chordata; Aves; Galliformes; Phasianidae. The record is from RNAcentral.
GGCAAUAGGAUCACUAUGAGGUCUCUAUGGGGUCGGUUUGGGGUUUCUAUAGAGGCAAUAGUGGCUCUAUGGGGUUUCUAUAGAGGCAAUAAGGCCACUAUGAGAUUUUAUGGGGUCUCUAUGGGGCAUAUGGGGUCUCUAUGGGGUCUGUAUGGUGGCAAUAGGGUCUCUAUGGGGUCUGUAUGGGAGCAAUAGGGUCGGCAUGGGGUCUCUAUGGGGUCUGUAUGGGGGCAAUAGGGUCGGCAUGAAAUCUCUAUGGGGUCUGUAUGGGGGCAGUGGGGUCUCUAUGGGGCUAAUAGGGUCUCUGUGGGGUCUCUGUGCGGUCUUUAUGGGGUCUCUAUAGGAGCAAUAAGGCUGAUAUGGGGUUUCUAUGGGGUUAUGGGGUCUUUGUGGGGAUUGUGGGGUUUCUGUGCGUACAGUGGGGCCCCAUGGGGUUUUGGGGUCUCUAUGGGGAUUGUGGGUUUCCUGUGGGUGCAGCAGGGUCCCUGUGGGAUUUUGGGGUCUCUAUGGGGACUAUGGGGUCAUUUGGGUCCACAUGGGGGUUUUGGGGUCUCUGUGGGGACAAUGGGGUCCCCGUGGGAUUUUGGGGUCUGUAUGGGGACAAUGGGGUCCAUAUGGGGAUUUUGGGGUCCAUAUGGGGAUUUUGGGGUCUCUAUGGGAUUUUGUGGUCCAUAUGGGGAUUUUGGGGUCUCUAUGGGUACAAUGGGGUCUCUAUGGGGUCAUUAGGGUCCAUAUGGUGUCAUUGGGGUCUCUGUGGGUACAACGGGGUCCCGGUGUGAUUUUGGGGUCCCGCAUUCGGCGCUGGCCGCGCAGGUGCUGGGCAGCCCCGGGAACAACCUGCACGAGGUGGAGACGGCCGAGGGCUGCCGCUUCCUGGCCAGCAUGCCGCCCCGCUUCCGCCACCACGUCUGGAUCAAGCGAGGUGCGGACGGCGGCCGCCCCAUGGCUGCCCCAUGGCUGCCCCAUAGCUGCCCCAUAGCCGCCCCCAUUGCCACCUCGUGGCCCCCAUGGCCACCCCGUAGCCACACCAUUACCGCCUCAUAGACCCUAUAGCCACCAUCAUGGCUGUCCCCAUAGCCAUCCCCAUGGCCACCCCAUAGCCAUCCCCAUAGUCAUCCCCAUGGCCACCCUAUAGCCGCCCCAUGGCCACCCCAUAGUCAUCCCCAUGGCCGCCCCAUGGCCACCCCAUAGUCAUCCCCAUGGCCACCCCAUGGUUGCCCCCAUAGUCAUCCCCGUGGUUGCCCCCAUGGCCACCCCAUAGUCAUCCCCAUGGCCACCCCAUAGUCAUCCCCAUGGCCAUCCCCAUAGUCAUCCCCAUAGUCAUCCCCA